RNAcentral lists this ribosomal RNA (159 nucleotides) under uncultured bacterium. RNAcentral describes it as "partial 16S ribosomal RNA". It matches the Rfam family "Bacterial small subunit ribosomal RNA", at positions 358 to 507 of the family's 1533-position model. The record is from RNAcentral.
GGAAUAUUAGGACAAUAGGGCGAAAGCCUAGAUCCAGCAAUACCGCGUGUGUGAAGAAGGCCUGAGGGUUGUAAAGCACUUUCAAUAGGAAGGAAUACCUAUCGGUUAAUACCCGGUAGACUGACAUUACCUAUACAAGAAGCACCGGCUAACUCCGUG